UGUAACGGAUCACCUGGCACCCCGACUGGGUACCUCCGUUGAAGGAUGCUCCUAGCACUUCCUGAGGACUCCAAGCACUGCAGCAGACACCAAAACCACCGAACCGUAGGAGCAUAUGAAUCCUCUCAAGCAUAUGAAUGCUGUAGACAGUUGAAUAGGAAACCAUACGAAUAGGUUUACACUCCUAGCAGUCAAACUGGAACAGCAUACAAUAAAUCCUCCCCCAAGAAUGAGACGACACUUCACUUUGAGGGUUAAGCAGGAACUCCCUGUACUGUCACAUACAGUCUCUUUUAUUCCCAAUCCACAAACAUAGUACAGCCCACAGGGCGUUACAAA
Pelobates cultripes (western spadefoot toad) is the source of this 339-nucleotide non-coding RNA. The record is from the annotation of a GenBank genome assembly. Lineage: Eukaryota; Metazoa; Chordata; Amphibia; Anura; Pelobatidae.